This 842-nucleotide long non-coding RNA is filed under the name Homo sapiens (human). RNAcentral's name for it is "non-protein coding lnc-TAF3-1:11". The record is from RNAcentral. Lineage: Eukaryota; Metazoa; Chordata; Mammalia; Primates; Hominidae.
CCCGGCCAGUCCGACUUGGUGCUCGCGAUUGAAUUUAAACGAAUAAUCCCUACUUCCCCAUCCAAAAUUAGCGGAUAGGCGCCCUUGCACCGGAAGGCCUCCUCACCAGUCUUUUCUUUUUGUCUUUGAAAUAAUUCUUAGCCUCAGAAGUCAGCAUUUUCAAGACCUGGCAUCCGCAGCGUUUCUGACGCGGGGACUUCUCUCUUCGGCUCUGAGGUCUCCGCGCGCAGAACCCAUGGCAGCUUUUGGUCUUACGCGUGGCUGUGAGCUGGGCUCACGCUGCGUGGCGCAUCCACCCCUCGAUUGACGCGCGGAGAAGCAUUUUUCAUUUUUUCUUUCAGCUUAUUUAAGAAGGUGAGGACUCCAAAGAAGAUCCAAACGCGAGACCAGGAAGAUUCACGUUUCCACUACUUCUUCCAAUACAUUUCACUAAUCUUUCUACAGGGAUAGUGUUUUAAAACACGACGACCCUCACACACCAAGGUGAAGUUGAAUAUUGUUGUUGUUCCUUCACCGCAUGAAAGGAAUCCUUCAGAACUUACUUUCAGGGACGGCUUCUUCUAUCUCGAAUUUUUGCAUUUGUAGGGAAUUUUAUGGGGUAGAGGAGCGAAGAGGGAACAAUGUCUCCAAUUCAAAUAAAACCCCAAAUUAAGCUCUCAGCCCCAUCGGUGGGAUAGCCUGCGGGGGAACCCACUCCCUCUCCUGGCAGCAUUGCCCUGGGGGCGAGCAGAGAGUGGAUUUGGAGUCUUCUUUUCCCGCCUGACCCCUGCUCGCCCGAGCAGCAUUUUCGGGCCAGCGGCUGCAGCCACCCGGGCGCCGCUAGGGGAUGCAGUGGCUCAAAG